Molecule: ribosomal RNA, 440 nt
Filed under: uncultured bacterium
Lineage: Bacteria
Description: partial 16S ribosomal RNA
Rfam family: Bacterial small subunit ribosomal RNA
Source: RNAcentral
CCUACGGGUGGCAGCAGUAGGGAAUAUUGCUCAAUGGGGGAAACCCUGAAGCAGCAACGCCGCGUGGAGGAUGAAGGUUCUCGGAUUGUAAACUCGUUUUGUUAGAGAAGAUAAUGACGGUAUCUAACGAAUAAGCACCGGCUAAAUCCGUGCCAGAAGCCGCGGUAAUACGGAGGGUGCAGGCGUUACUCGGAAUCACUGGGCGUAAAGAGCGCGUAGGCGGGAUAGCAAGUCAGAUGUGAAAUCCUAUGGGUUAAACAUAGAACUGCAUUUGAAACUGUUAUUCUAGAGUAUGGAAGAGGCAGGUGGAAUUCGUGGUGUAGUGGUAAAAUGCGUAGAGAUCAAGAGGAAUACUCAUUGCGAAGGCGACCUGCUAGAACAUAACUGACGCUGAUGCGCGAAAGCGUGGGGAGCAAACAGGAUUAGAUACCCUGGUAGUC